UGUAGCAAGGUUAACCGAAUAGGGGAGCCGGAGGGAAACCGAGUCUUAAUUGGGCGUUAAGUUGCAGGGUAUAGACCCGAAACCCGGUGAUCUAGCCAUGGGCAGGUUGAAGGUUGGGUAACACUAACUGGAGGACCGAACCGACUAAUGUUGAAAAAUUAGCGGAUGACCUGUGGCUGGGGGUGAAAGGCCAAUCAAACCGGGAGAUAGCUGGUUCUCCCCGAAAGCUAUUUAGGUAGCGCCUCGUGAAUUCAUCUCCGGGGGUAGAGCACUGUUUCGGCUAGGGGGCCAUCCCGGCUUACCAACCCGAUGCAAACUGCGAAUACCGGAGAAUGUUAUCACGGGAGACACACGGCGGGUGCUAACGUCCGUCGUGAAGAGGGAAACAACCCAGACCGCCAGCUAAGGUCCCAAAGUCAUGGUUAAGUGGGAAACGAUGUGGGAAGGCCCAGACAGCCAGGAUGUUGGCUUAGAAGCAGCCAUCAUUUAAAGAAAGCGUAAUAGCUCACUGGUCGAGUCGGCCUGCGCGGAAGAUGUAACGGGGCUAAACCAUG
RNAcentral lists this ribosomal RNA (554 nucleotides) under Salmonella enterica subsp. enterica serovar Cerro. RNAcentral's name for it is "partial 23S ribosomal RNA". It matches the Rfam family "Bacterial large subunit ribosomal RNA", at positions 636 to 1191 of the family's 2925-position model. RNAcentral also lists the same sequence under 1 other name. Lineage: Bacteria; Pseudomonadati; Pseudomonadota; Gammaproteobacteria; Enterobacterales; Enterobacteriaceae. The record is from RNAcentral.